RNAcentral lists this ribosomal RNA (253 nucleotides) under uncultured bacterium. Its description in RNAcentral is "partial 16S ribosomal RNA". It matches the Rfam family "Bacterial small subunit ribosomal RNA", at positions 524 to 776 of the family's 1533-position model. The record is from RNAcentral.
UACGGGGGGGGCAAGCGUUGUUCGGAAUUACUGGGCGUAAAGGGCUCGUAGGUGGCCAACUAAGUCAGACGUGAAAUCCCUCGGCUUAACCGGGGAACUGCGUCUGAUACUGGAUGGCUUGAGGUUGGGAGAGGGAUGCGGAAUUCCAGGUGUAGCGGCGAAAUGCGUAGAUAUCUGGAGGAACACCGGUGGCGAAGGCGGCAUCCUGGACCAAUUCUGACGCUGAGGAGCGAAAGCCAGGGGAGCAAACGGG